GAUGAACGCUGGCGGCGUGCUUAACACAUGCAAGUCGAACGGAAAGGCCCUGCUUUUGUGGGGUGCUCGAGUGGCGAACGGGUGAGUAACACGUGAGUAACCUGCCCUUGACUUUGGGAUAACUUCAGGAAACUGGGGCUAAUACCGGAUAGGAGCUCCUGCUGCAUGGUGGGGGUUGGAAAGUUUCGGCGGUUGGGGAUGGACUCGCGGCUUAUCAGCUUGUUGGUGGGGUAGUGGCUUACCAAGGCUUUGACGGGUAGCCGGCCUGAGAGGGUGACCGGCCACAUUGGGACUGAGAUACGGCCCAGACUCCUACGGGAGGCAGCAGUGGGGAAUAUUGCACAAUGGGCGGAAGCCUGAUGCAGCAACGCCGCGUGCGGGAUGACGGCCUUCGGGUUGUAAACCGCCUUCGCCUGUGACGAAGCGUGAGUGACGGUAAUGGGUAAAGAAGCACCGGCUAACUACGUG
RNAcentral lists this ribosomal RNA (468 nucleotides) under uncultured bacterium. RNAcentral's name for it is "partial 16S ribosomal RNA". It matches the Rfam family "Bacterial small subunit ribosomal RNA", at positions 28 to 507 of the family's 1533-position model. The record is from RNAcentral.